AUACGUAGGGUGCGAGCGUUGUCCGGAAUUACUGGGCGUAAAGAGCUCGUAGGUGGUUUGUCGCGUCGUCUGUGAAAUUCCGGGGCUUAACUCCGGGCGUGCAGGCGAUACGGGCAUAACUUGAGUACUGUAGGGGAGACUGGAAUUCCUGGUGUAGCGGUGAAAUGCGCAGAUAUCAGGAGGAACACCGGUGGCGAAGGCGGGUCUCUGGGCAGUAACUGACGCUGAGGAGCGAAAGCAUGGGUAGCGAACAGGAUUGGAUACCCUGGUAGUCCAUGCCGUAAACGGUGGGCGCUAGGUGUAGGGGUCUUCCACGACUUCUGUGCCGUAGCUAACGCAUUAAGCGCCCCGCCUGGGGAGUACGGCCGCAAGGCUAAAACUCAAAGGAAUUGACGGG
RNAcentral lists this ribosomal RNA (397 nucleotides) under uncultured bacterium. Its description in RNAcentral is "partial 16S ribosomal RNA". It matches the Rfam family "Bacterial small subunit ribosomal RNA", at positions 523 to 917 of the family's 1533-position model. The record is from RNAcentral.